Molecule: long non-coding RNA, 315 nt
Filed under: Serinus canaria (Common canary)
Lineage: Eukaryota; Metazoa; Chordata; Aves; Passeriformes; Fringillidae
Description: lncRNA (ENSSCAG00000014866.1)
Source: RNAcentral
GCAAACAGUUUUGGGAUUGCUUUAACCUUGAAAAUGUUUUUUUCCAUACCCUUUAUAUUUUUUUUCUCAGGGUUGUUUCCUGACCAAUUCCUGCUGCAACAAAGACGAUGUAAAACCAAGCUGGGACUCCAUCAGCUCCUGAAGAGGGACAAGUCCAAGCUGAGAGUUGUCCUGUUAGCUCCCAGCACUGUGUUGGCAUGGCUGUGCCAUGCCCACUUCCAGAGGAGGGAUUGCCACAUGAACCUCAGCAUUUCAGCUAAUUUGACAUCACCUCCUGGAAGCAGAGGACUCUCUGUAAGGAUAGCAAGUGACUGA